GUCGCGUCUGUCGUGAAAGUCCGGGGCUUACCCCGGAUCUGCGGUGGGUACGGGCAGACUAGAGUGCAGUAGGGGAGACUGGAAUUCCUGGUGUAGCGGUGGAAUGCGCAGAUAUCAGGAGGAACACCGAUGGCGAAGGCAGGUCUCUGGGCUGUAACUGACGCUGAGGAGCGAAAGCAUGGGGAGCGAACAGGAUUAGAUACCCUGGUAGUCCAUGCCGUAAACGUUGGGCACUAGGUGUGGGGACCAUUCCACGGUUUCCGCGCCGCAGCUAACGCAUUAAGUGCCCCGCCUGGGGAGUACGGCCGCAAGGCUAAAACUCAAAGGAAUUGACGGGGGCCCGCACAAGCGGCGGAGCAUGCGGAUUAAUUCGAUGCAACGCGAAGAGCCUUACCAAGGCUUGACAUGUUCUCGAUCGCCGUAGAGAUACGGUUUCCCCUUUGGGGCGGGUUCACAGGUGGUGCAUGGUUGUCGUCAGCUCGUGUCGUGAGAUGUUGGGUUAAGUCCCGCAACGAGCGCAACCCUCGUUCCAUGUUGCCAGCACGUAGUGGUGGGGACUCAUGGGAGACUGCCGGGGUCAACUCGGAGGAAGGUGAGGACGACGUCAAAUCAUCAUGCCCCUUAUGUCUUGGGCUUCACGCAUGCUACAAUGGCCGGUACAAUGGGUUGCGAUACUGUGAGGUGGAGCUAAUCCCAAAAAGCCGGUCUCAGUUCGGAUUGGGGUCUGCAACUCGACCCCAUGAAGUCGGAGUCGCUAGUAAUCGCA
This 766-nucleotide ribosomal RNA is filed under the name uncultured bacterium. Its description in RNAcentral is "bacterial SSU rRNA". It matches the Rfam family "Bacterial small subunit ribosomal RNA", at positions 582 to 1346 of the family's 1533-position model. The record is from RNAcentral.